Molecule: unclassified non-coding RNA, 329 nt
Filed under: soil metagenome
Description: partial contains 5.8S ribosomal RNA, internal transcribed spacer 2, and large subunit ribosomal RNA
Rfam family: 5.8S ribosomal RNA (bases 1-120)
Source: RNAcentral
GAUGAAGAACGCAGCGAAAUGCGAUAAGUAAUGUGAAUUGCAGAAUUCAGUGAAUCAUCGAAUCUUUGAACGCACAUUGCGCCCCUUGGUAUUCCGGGGGGCAUGCCUGUUCGAGCGUCAUUACAACCCUCAAGCUCUGCUUGGUCUUGGGCGUCACCGGUCCCCGGUGUGCCUUAAAAUCAGUGGCGGCGCCAUCUGGCUCUAAGCGUAGUACAUACUCUCGCUACAGACGUCCGGUGGAUGCUGGCCAGCAACCCCCAAUUUUUACAGGUUGACCUCGGAUCAGGUAGGGAUACCCGCUGAACUUAAGCAUAUCAAUAAGCGGAGGA